UGGAAAAUGGCAAUAUUAUAAAUAUAUAUUAUAAUGACUUCCGUAUCAAUUAUUAAAAACAAGUGAAUCCAAUAUAUCCUCAAUUUAGGUAUACACACUUGUCAGUUCAAUGAAACUCAGCUCAGUAUUUUUUAUUAGUAGAUGUUGUCUGUCCGCGGACAGACACCGAACUGAGCCAAAAAAAGUUGCUUCCACCAUAUUAAAGUUGCAAUGCGCUUGCGCAGCCGUUUGAACUGAGGUGAGGUUCAUGGAUUGAGAUGAGGUAUUUACCCACGCCGCCUGCACAGGCCAGAAAAACUGUGCAGGUUGUCCACACUAACGUUCAGUUAUAAUUGCACAGUCCAACUGUGCAGUUAAAAUUGCGCAGGCAUAACUGAACGUUAGUGGCGGACUUAAGCAAACCGCAACGAACUCCAUUUACCCAUAAUUCUGCGCAAGUCUUGUUAGCAGCCGGAGACAAGCUUCCUGGUUUACAUGCCAUCUAUGUCCAGCAUAUUACUGUGGCGUGUAUAAAUGACCACUUCUGGAAUAACAACAACAGUAUCUCGAACAGGAACGAAAUAAAUAAGGCAACAACAGCGACAAGAAAGGAAGAACGGACACGUCAGAACGACGCCUCAGAGAGACGUAAUCUGUCAUGUAACGAAGGUGCGUUCAGUAAGGCCUUACGCCACAACAGCGAUGAAAGACCUCUUUGGUUCCAGCGCUUGGCCUUUGGCCUGGGUUUUAUAUUCUAACUCCAAGAAGGGGAAGGAAAAAGAAUUCCGAAUAAACGAUUGGUACGAAAAUCGCGACAGCAACCACCACAGAA
Molecule: long non-coding RNA, 811 nt
Organism: Macrobrachium nipponense
Lineage: Eukaryota; Metazoa; Arthropoda; Malacostraca; Decapoda; Palaemonidae
Exons: 3
Source: RefSeq, a predicted model, not a curated record